UGGCAUCCACAGAGCACGUAAG
RNAcentral lists this unclassified non-coding RNA (22 nucleotides) under Mus musculus (house mouse). Its description in RNAcentral is "oocyte_clustered_small_RNA1604". Lineage: Eukaryota; Metazoa; Chordata; Mammalia; Rodentia; Muridae. The record is from RNAcentral.